UGCAAGUCGAGCGAGAAAGCGGCUUCGGUCGUGAGUAAAGCGGCGAACGGGUGAGUAACACGUGGACAACCUGCCUGGAAAUGGGGGAUAACUUGAGGAAACUCGAGCUAAUACCGCAUACGUCCGCGCCGCGCGAGCGGUGCGUGCAAAGAUGGCCUCUUCAUGAAAGCUGUCGUUUCCAGAUGGGUCCGCGGCUGAUUAGCCAGUUGGUGGGGUAACGGCCUACCAAAGCGACGAUCAGUAGCCGGCCUGAGAGGGCGAUCGGCCACACUGGAACUGAGACACGGUCCAGACUCCUACGGGAGGCAGCAGUGGGGAAUAUUGGACAAUGGGCGAAAGCCUGAUCCAGCAACGCCGCGUGGAGGAUGAAGGCCCUAGGGUUGUAAACUCCUGUCAGGUGGGACGAAAAGGCGUCGGUCAAUACCCGGCGCCCCUGACGGUACCACCGGAGGAAGCCCCGGCUAACUACGUGCCAGCAGCCGCGGUAACACGUAGGGGGCGAGCGUUAUUCGGAAUUAUUGGGCGUAAAGGGCGCGUAGGCGGCUUGACAAGUCAGUGGUGAAAUCCCUCGGCUCAACCGAGGAACUGCCUCUGAAACUGUUCGGCUUGAGGCCGGGAGAGGGUGGUGGAAUUCCCAGUGUAGCGGUGAAAUGCGUAGAUAUUGGGAGGAACACCAGUGGCGAAGGCGGCCACCUGGACCGGUUCUGACGCUGAGGCGCGAAAGUGUGGGGAGCAAACAGGAUUAGAUACCCUGGUAGUCCACACUGUAAACGAUGA
This 777-nucleotide ribosomal RNA is filed under the name uncultured bacterium. RNAcentral's name for it is "bacterial SSU rRNA". It matches the Rfam family "Bacterial small subunit ribosomal RNA", at positions 56 to 812 of the family's 1533-position model. The record is from RNAcentral.